This 407-nucleotide ribosomal RNA is filed under the name uncultured eukaryote. RNAcentral describes it as "SSU rRNA". It matches the Rfam family "Eukaryotic small subunit ribosomal RNA", at positions 567 to 984 of the family's 1831-position model. The record is from RNAcentral.
CCAGCAGCCGCGGUAAUUCCAGCUCCAAUAGCGUAUAUUAAAGUUGUUGCAGUUAAAAAGCUCGUAGUUGAAUUUCAGGAGGGGCCGCGCGGUCCGUCUUCGACGAGACCUCGCCGCCCUUCCUUCUUUGGCGGCUUCCCGUCCGGCCCUUCGGGGUCGCGUGCGGGGGCGCCAUCGUUUACUGUGAAAAAAUUAGAGUGUUCAAAGCAGGCUUUAGGCUUGAAUACAUUAGCAUGGAAUAAUAAGAUAGGACCGAGGUGCUAUUUUGUUGGUUGCGCAUCGCGGUAAUGAUUAAGAGGGAUAGUUGGGGGUAUUCAUAUUUAACUGUCAGAGGUGAAAUUCUUGGAUUAGUUAAAGAUGCACGACUGCGAAAGCAUUUACCAAGGAUGUUUUCAUUAAUCAAGAAC